RNAcentral lists this long non-coding RNA (945 nucleotides) under Setaria viridis. Its description in RNAcentral is "long non-coding RNA (SVIR_LNC007230)". Lineage: Eukaryota; Viridiplantae; Streptophyta; Magnoliopsida; Poales; Poaceae. The record is from RNAcentral.
GAGGGAGGCGGAUCUGCUUGGGGUCGAAGAAGAAGAGGAACGAGAGGAGUGAGGAUGUUGUUUACCUGCGCAGCCGGAGCCUGGAGCCGGAGAAGACGAACCGCAACGGUGGGGAACCAGGGAGUGAGGCGGAUCUGCGAGGGUCGUGGGGAGGAGGCGACUAGGCGAGGAACCGAGGGAGGCGGAGGGCCGGAGGGGCUAAGGGAGAAGCGGGGUUACGAGGAGGGAGGCGGAUGGGUGACCGGCGAGCCGGCGGCGGGCGAGGACGCCGGAUCUGAGAGGGGACUAGGGGAGGAGCAGUUACAGGGGUAGGGAGGCGAAGCCGGCGGAGGGGCCACCAGCAAGCCGGCGGUGAGCGAGGAUGCCGGAUCUGAGAGUGGAGGAGCAGUUACGGGGGGGAGGGAGGCGGAGGGGCCACCGGCGAGCCGGCGGCGGGCAAGGACGGUGGAGGAUCUAGGGGAGGAGGCGAGGAGCCGGGAGGGAGCGGGGAGGAGGCGAGGAGCCGGGACCGGGAGAGAGCGAGAGAGAGACAGAGGCGGCUCGAUGCGGGAGCGGGGGCCGGGGGGUAGGGUUUCGGCCGGGGACGGGUUCGCGCCGGCCUUAUAUACGGCCGUUGGCCGGGCCGAGGCAGGCCUGGCAGGCCUUAACAGGCCAUGCCGGCCGUUGCUGGCCCACGGGCCAAAUGGGCCAGGCCGUGCCGGGCCAGCCCACGUGCUGAGGUAGCAUACCAGGCCCGGCCCGUGAUGUAGGCCGGGCCGGGCCUGCCUGCAAGGCCGUCGUGCUGGGCCGUGCCUGUACCGGGCCAAAAUGUCGUGCCAUGGGCCGGCCCACGGGUCGCGGGCCAAAUGGAAAUCUAUACUUUAGCUCCUGAUAUCCAAACAAACGGCCCCUCCAUCUAAACCAUCAGCCAUUGCAGGAACGGUUGGCAAUUCUAUUAAAUAGCCG